GUUUUAAUGCGGUACGGUAAUUUGCACGUGAAUCAGUCUGCAUGAUUAAAUCGCAAUUGAUUGAGAGAAUUAAGUAAAUUGCUCGUAACAAUGAUAUGUUUAAUUAAUCUGUAGAACGUUUGCCAAAUUGACACAGUAAUUAGGUGACAUUAAAUGAGUUUCGUCGUCAUUGGUAUGGAUAAUGUGCAUUUAUUUGAACGUGACGCAUCGCGUCGUUACUGAAUUAUUGUAGCGUUAAUCGACAGAAGUAAACAGGAACGCACUCGGUUCUCUUUCCUCAUUGAGAUAUUGAAUUCACGCUGUUUUAAUUGUAAUUUUAUUAUUUAUCGCCGUUAUAUUUAUACCGCCCUUAUACCAAUGGAACAACAUUGUGGAAUUAAUUGAUUAAUUCCCGAUUUUUAAUCUUGUUAAGGGGCGCGACUCUCGAGAAGAUACGCGCCGCUAAAAACCAGUGAUUUCGCGUAUCUACGAAGAGAAAUGAGUACGCUCGGUUCCCCGCGGAUCGCGCGAUUCUUUCUUUACUUUUUCGGCGGUGCACGUUCCUGCUCAACGCUUCGUCGAAUUAUACGCCGUGACCUGUAAUUUGGACACUAUUUCACAUGCUGUAAGCAUGCAAUCACGAAAAGGUGUUCCCUUUUGUAAGUGGUUCCACCUAGAUGAAGAAUUUAUCGGCUAACAGCCCUUCCUUGAGAUUAUAAUACACGCUGCACACAUGAUCUGAUCGGACCAUGGUCUCAUAAUGCACCGAUGCGUUCAAAUGCUUAAUUCUUUCGCUUUUUUGCCUGAUAAUAUAAAAUUUCCUGAUUCCACGUUGGUAAACAUUUCGUUAUGCAGAUUGUGCGAAGAUCGUCUCACAACCGUUAUUAUCUAUCUCUUAUUAUCCGUUAUUAUUUAUUAUUAUCUAUUAUUAUCUGCUAUUAUACCUAUUACGUAGAAUUAAUUUUCAUGAUUGAUGAUUUUUCAAAAAACAAGAAUCCUUUAUAAAAAACUUGGCAGUUUUCAUAAUUCAUAAGUUAAUUAAAAUUUUACAAAAAAGAGUUCCCUUCCUUUUUCUUAAUAUCAAUUUAAAAAUAUAUUAAAGAAAGAUUGUUCAUUUAAAUCAAGUAAAGAGUUAAUUAACAUUUUUCUGCAUCAUCGCAUAGAAUAAAAUAUUUUUGUAAUAUAAUAAAAUAAAACAUUUAUAUGAUUAAUUAAAUUAAUUUUCUCAAAGAUCACUUCAUUUGAUUGAAUAUACACAUUAUGUGUGUUAAUCCAUUCUUGGAUUUAUACGAGUCUAAUCCAUGUUCUUAUAUAGACGUACAUGUCGUCGAGUAAAUUCUCAGAGAGAGGAUGAGGCAGUUCAGGAAAUGUAAGAUCUCAAAUGCGGGAGACCGGAAGAAACGCAAUAACAUUCAAGAGAUUUGAUUUAUUCGAAAGGAAACGAAUCUCUCUCUCCCGAAUGCGUCAUGUGUGCUCCAAGAACAAAUAUCCGGCCACUCGAAUGGCAAAUUGAUCGAAAUAAAGGUUGGACAUAUGCAUUUGAUCACUUUUCGUUCUUCAGGACGCGGUCUUCGACGUUCUCCGCUUAUACAAUCGUUCCUGAUAGAGUUUAUAAACUAUACCAUUAGGUACGUUCAUUUUGCUGCUGCUUCCGCAAAUUUUUGCAAGGAGCGUAAAAGGAAAAAAAAAAGCAUCGAAAAAUCUUCAUUAGCCGAUGAUUUCCUGCGCAAGCGAUUAUUUGGAAAGCAUCGAUUAACUUUCUGAUCGUCCAGAUUGAUUCACGGAAACAGGAAGUCCUCAGAAAAAGAGCAGAGCGGCAUAGACCUCACACGUUGAGGGUAAAACGCGUUCGUAAAGUUUCUUGGAUCUCGCCGACGAAAGUGCGCGCAUCGCGCUUCGUUAUAAAAAGGGAGACGAUUGAAGUCAUGCUGAAAAGUGAUCCGAAAUCGCACACAAUUUAUGGCGAAAACUUGGAAAUUUACGAUGCUACUCUAAAUCAAGAAAAUACUGUCCACGUAUCAAUGUUACGCAUAAAUGCGUAUCUUACAUAAUACACGAAUAAAUGUACGUGAAAAACAUAAUAUAUGUAAAUAUAUGUAUCGUGCAUUUCAUAAA
This 2094-nucleotide long non-coding RNA is filed under the name Ooceraea biroi (clonal raider ant). RNAcentral describes it as "uncharacterized LOC105284409". Lineage: Eukaryota; Metazoa; Arthropoda; Insecta; Hymenoptera; Formicidae. The record is from RNAcentral.